UUCUGGGUCUUCCUCUUGGUGCCAUCGUUGAUGCUUCACGCUAUAAAAAUGAAAAACACACUAAGAUCUGACGUUACUGACGCCGCCCAAAGAGGUUGUUGAAUUUAUUUAUUUAUUUUUUUUUUUUAUGAAUUUAAACCCUAAGUUUGAGCCCACAUCGGCUUAAAAAGAAGAAAACAAACGAAAAGAACGGAAAAAUUGAAAGAGACGUUCAAUCUGAGUGAAGUUCAAAGCAGGAGAGCUCCAACAGACGAAACUUGUGUGUAUGCAUGCCUGUGCAUAUGUGCAAACAAUAAGAGAGUACGUUAUAUAUUGUAUGACAAAUGGCAUUCAACCACCGUUUGAGCAUUUUUCUUUUCGGAUUUUCUAAUUGUGAUUUUUGAAUAACGUGAGGGUUAAAAAGUAUACAAAUUUUUGAAUUUACAUGUUGUUUCGCGCGGGUAGUCG
This 447-nucleotide long non-coding RNA is filed under the name Olea europaea (common olive). RNAcentral describes it as "long non-coding RNA (OEUR_LNC004071)". The record is from RNAcentral. Lineage: Eukaryota; Viridiplantae; Streptophyta; Magnoliopsida; Lamiales; Oleaceae.